Molecule: unclassified non-coding RNA, 300 nt
Filed under: uncultured fungus
Lineage: Eukaryota; Fungi
Description: sequence contains 5.8S rRNA gene, ITS2
Rfam family: 5.8S ribosomal RNA (bases 1-71)
Source: RNAcentral
GUGAAUCAUCGAAUCUUUGAACGCAUAUUGCGCUCGAGACUUCGGUCGAGAGCAUGCCUGUCUCAGCGUCGGCUCACCCCUCGCCCACCCUUUCCCCUUCACCGGAGGAGAGGUGCCUGGACGGACGUGGCCGUCUCGCUUUCCCGGUAUCUCACCGGGAGAGCGGGUCGGCUGAAGUGCAGGGCCCGCGGCGCGACCCGGACGAGAGGGCGCCAGCAUGGUAGGUGGCUCAACGCUGCAUGCCGCUGUCGCCUUUCAUCUCGGCCCGAAUCAAGGUCGCAUCCAAUCGUCCGCUCGGCC